UACGGGGGGGGCAAGCGUUGUUCGGAAUUACUGGGCGUAAAGGGCGCGUAGGCGGCCCUCUAAGUCAGACGUGAAACCCCACGGCUUAACCGUGGAACUGCGUCUGAUACUGGAGGGCUUGAAUCCGGGAGAGGGAUGUGGAAUUCCAGGUGUAGCGGUGAAAUGCGUAGAGAUCCGGAAGAACACCGGAGGCGAAGGCGGCUUGCUGGGCGUGAUCUGACGCUGAGGCGCGAAAGCGUGGGGAGCGAACAGG
This 253-nucleotide ribosomal RNA is filed under the name uncultured bacterium. Its description in RNAcentral is "partial 16S ribosomal RNA". It matches the Rfam family "Bacterial small subunit ribosomal RNA", at positions 524 to 776 of the family's 1533-position model. The record is from RNAcentral.